UACGGGGGGGGCAAGCGUUGUUCGGAAUUACUGGGCGUAAAGGGCUCGUAGGUGGCCAACUAAGUCAGACGUGAAAUCCCUCGGCUUAACCGGGGAACUGCAUCUGAUACUGGAUGGCUUGAGUUUGGGAGAGGGAUGCGGAAUUCCAGGUGUAGCGGUGAAAUGCGUAGAUAUCUGGAGGAACACCGGUGGCGAAGGCGGCAUCCUGGACCAAUACUGACGCUGAGGAGCGAAAGCCAGGGGAGCAAACGGG
Molecule: ribosomal RNA, 253 nt
Filed under: uncultured bacterium
Lineage: Bacteria
Description: partial 16S ribosomal RNA
Rfam family: Bacterial small subunit ribosomal RNA
Source: RNAcentral